UGGGCAACCUGCCCUCAGCUCUGGGAUAACUCCGGGAAACCGGGGCUAAUACCGGAUACGACCUUCCCUGGCAUCGGGGGAGGUGGAAAGUUCUUCGGCUGAGGAUGGGCCCGCGGCCUAUCAGCUUGUUGGUGGGGUGACGGCCUACCAAGGCGACGACGGGUAGCCGGCCUGAGAGGGCGACCGGCCACACUGGGACUGAGACACGGCCCAGACUCCGUACGGGAGGCA
This 231-nucleotide ribosomal RNA is filed under the name uncultured bacterium. RNAcentral describes it as "partial 16S ribosomal RNA". It matches the Rfam family "Bacterial small subunit ribosomal RNA", at positions 118 to 350 of the family's 1533-position model. The record is from RNAcentral.